UCCAGACUCCUACGGGAGGCAGCAGUAGGGAAUUUUGCGCAAUGGGCGAAAGCCUGACGCAGCAACACCGCGUGAAUGUUAAGCCCUUCGGGGUGUAAAGUUCUGUCAAUAGGGACGAAUUUUGACUGUACCUAUAAAGGAAGCACCGGCUAACUCCGUGCCAGCAGCCGCGGUAAUACGGGGGGUGCAAGCGUUGUCCGGAAUCAUUGGGCGUAAAGCGUUCGUAGGCGGCAAGGUAAGUCUGAUGUUAAAGCCCGGGGCUCAACUCCGGUUCGGCAUUGGAUACUAUCUAGCUAGAAUGUGGUGGAGGUAAAGGGAAUUCCUGGUGUAGCGGUGAAAUGCGUAGAUAUAAGGAAGAACACCAGUGGCGAAGGCGGAUGACUGGACGGCAACUGACGGUGAGGCGCGAAAGCGUGGGGAGCAAACAGGAUUAGAUACCCCAGUA
Molecule: ribosomal RNA, 445 nt
Filed under: uncultured bacterium
Lineage: Bacteria
Description: partial 16S ribosomal RNA
Rfam family: Bacterial small subunit ribosomal RNA
Source: RNAcentral